Molecule: ribosomal RNA, 225 nt
Filed under: uncultured Glomeromycotina
Lineage: Eukaryota; Fungi; Glomeromycota
Description: partial small subunit ribosomal RNA
Rfam family: Eukaryotic small subunit ribosomal RNA
Source: RNAcentral
GGGUUAGUAGGUUGGUCAUGCCUCUGGUAUGUACUGGUCUCACUGAUUCCUCCUUCCUUAUGAACCGUAAUGCCAUUAAUUUGGUGUUGCGGGAAAUUUGGACUGUUACUUUGAAAAAUUAGAGUGUUUAAAGCAAGCUAACGCUUGAAUACAUUAGCAUGGAAUAAUGAAAUAGGACGUUCGAUCUUAUUUUGUUGGUUUCUAGGACCACCGUAAUGAUUAAUA